AGGGGGCUGCUGUCUCCUUUGGAUCUUUUUGCGGUCUGGGCUUGCUGUUCCUCUCAACAAUAGUCAGGAAGCCCUUACCCCAAAAAGUAUCUGCGGGAGGCCUGGUCUACAGGAGAGACACCC
This 123-nucleotide microRNA precursor is filed under the name Pteropus vampyrus (large flying fox). Its description in RNAcentral is "miRNA (ENSPVAG00000025679.1)". The stretch from base 19 to 93 matches the Rfam family "mir-129 microRNA precursor family". From Rfam's summary of the family: The mature sequence is excised from the 5' arm of the hairpin. The record is from RNAcentral. Lineage: Eukaryota; Metazoa; Chordata; Mammalia; Chiroptera; Pteropodidae.